AGAAUCAACGCUGGCGGCGUGCCUAACACAUGCAAGUCGAACGAGAAAGUGGAGCAAUCCAUGAGUAAAGUGGCGCACGGGUGAGUAACACGUGACUAACCUACCCUUGAGUGGGGGAUAACCUCGGGAAACCGGGGCUAAUACCGCAUGAUAUCGAGAGAUCAAAGGAGCAAUUCGCUUAAGGAGGGGGUCGCGGCUGAUUAGCUAGUUGGUAGGGUAAUGGCCUACCAAGGCUAUGAUCAGUAUCCGGCCUGAGAGGGCGCACGGACACACUGGAACUGAAACACGGUCCAGACUCCUACGGGAGGCAGCAGUGGGGAAUUUUGCGCAAUGGGGGAAACCCUGACGCAGCAACGCCGCGUGGAGGAUGAAGUCCCUUGGGACGUAAACUCCUUUCGAUCGGGACGAUAAUGACGGUACCGGAAGAAGAAGCCCCGGCUAACUUCGCGCCAGCAGCCGC
RNAcentral lists this ribosomal RNA (460 nucleotides) under uncultured bacterium. RNAcentral's name for it is "SSU rRNA". It matches the Rfam family "Bacterial small subunit ribosomal RNA", at positions 26 to 518 of the family's 1533-position model. The record is from RNAcentral.